UACGUAGGGGGCAAGCGUUGUCCGGAAUCAUUGGGCGUAAAGCGCGCGUAGGCGGCCCGGUAAGUCCGCUCUGAAAGUCCAGGGCUCAACCCUGGAAAGCGGGUGGAUACUGCCGGGCUAGAAUCCGGAAGAGGCGAGUGGAAUUCCUGGUGUAGCGGUGGAAUGCGCAGAUAUCAGGAGGAACACCGGUGGCGAAGGCGGCAUCCUGGACCGACACUGACGCUGAGGAGCGAAAGCCAGGGGAGCAAACGGG
This 253-nucleotide ribosomal RNA is filed under the name uncultured bacterium. Its description in RNAcentral is "partial 16S ribosomal RNA". It matches the Rfam family "Bacterial small subunit ribosomal RNA", at positions 524 to 776 of the family's 1533-position model. The record is from RNAcentral.